This 1076-nucleotide long non-coding RNA is filed under the name Homo sapiens (human). RNAcentral describes it as "non-protein coding GABPB1-AS1:5". Lineage: Eukaryota; Metazoa; Chordata; Mammalia; Primates; Hominidae. The record is from RNAcentral.
AGGGCCCUACACAGACCCGCACUGACCUGGAAAAGCUUCGGGAGCGGCGACGGGAAGGCAGCAGGAGGUGGUGCGGGGACCCGAGGCGCCUCGUACCCGGCCGGGCUGACGCGGCCCCGCUACACACAAAGCGCUUCAGCUGCACAGGGCGCUAUUUUCCGAAAAUGCCGCGUCUGGUCGGCGCCCAAAAUCCCCACCGAAAAGUCCCCCGUGCUGCGCGCGGAGGGACACAUGGUGUGCGAGUGAGUCAAGCUCCCAGCAUCCCUCCCGGACCCGGCCCUCUUCAGCUCAUCGCCCGAGGAUUUUCCGCCUCUGCCCUCGUCGGCAGAUCCUGCUCCUACCCACUCCCUAGCUGUGUUCCCGCGGGGAGAGAGGGGAAAGAGGGUCUGAUUUUUUAACGAAGGGAAAGAAAAUAUGCCAUUUCUAGCGCUUCAGCCACACAAAGAAAGCGGCGGAAUGAUCCGCUCUCGGCGACCGCAAGUCCCGGCUCGCCCGGCGCCUGCGCGGCAGCGGGGGUGGGAGCUGCGGACGGCCAUGUGCGCGGCGGAGAGGCCGGGUGGCCACCGAACCUUCCCGCCUGUUCUGCGGUGGGUAGGAGUUUGGAAACUAAUGUUCCUGUGCUAACCUUCGUGUCUCUGUGACAUGACUGUUGAAAGACGGAGAGUGCGGAAUCUUUGGAGUUUUAAGCUUGCCAACUGUGCGGCCUAGCAGAAUCCUGGGAGACGGAAGGACAGCCAAGAGGCUAGGAUUUACCUUUAAGUGUCCCUAGAUUCAACUAGGCAGACUGGGACGGGAGACGCUGUGAAGGUACCAGGGAAGGAACGAGUGAGGUUCCUUUUCCACUUUUUCAUAAACUCAACAGUCAGGUUCAUGACGAAGAUAUAGAUAUUUCUGUAGAUUUUUUCCCCAACAUUCUAAUUAUGCCUCAUGUUUCGUAGAUCCUAGUAACUGCUUGGAUUACUGCCACCUCAGAGGUAGAGAUCUGUUUUUCCGUGGCUGGAAUGCCAAAAAUUUUGUUGUAUUUUAUUAAGAAAGUAGCAAAAGUUUGGAGAUUUGCAAAGUUAAAAAAAAAAAAA